This 765-nucleotide ribosomal RNA is filed under the name Triticum aestivum (bread wheat). RNAcentral describes it as "partial small subunit ribosomal RNA". Lineage: Eukaryota; Viridiplantae; Streptophyta; Magnoliopsida; Poales; Poaceae. The record is from RNAcentral.
GGGCUUCUGCCGCUCUGUUAUAAAGUUCUGUAGCCCCGAUCGUUUCGGGGAGUCAGGCUGACGGGCCGGCGAGGAAGGCCGAGGGGCAGGCUGACGAGGUGGGCCGGCCGACGGUCGACUGGUUGACGUGGCUGAUCGGCUGACGGCUGACGUCAGGCUGGGCCGUAGCUGUUCUGGGGCUGCUCUGCCGGUAUGGUGCCUGUUCUGUUGGCAUGGCGCUGUGGCAGUACAUAUCACAGUGAACAGGGGACCGUGAUAAGUACUUCACUGGAUCCCCUGUUCGUACUGUACGUGGUACGGAACGAGGGUAUGGAGGUGUAUCGAAUCUACGUUUCGAUGGGAGAGGAUAUUUUCCUCUGUGUGUAGGUAGGUAGGUACCUACCUGAGUGUGCAUGUGUGUGUUCGUUCGAUCGAUCGUUCUCUCGAUCGAUCGGUAGGUAGGUAGGUAAGGGUGCCCGUUCGUACGGGUUCGUGUGUAUGCCGGUACGAGUACCGGCCGGUGAUUUCGCACGGAACACGUGUGUAUAUACCUCAGUCUACGGGUACCGUGACGGGGGUCUAUGUCGAGAUCCUCGCGAAACAUGACGGGCUACAUGUGGGGUCUAUAUAUACGAGUCUGUACGUCCUCAUCCCCAUAAUAGAGAGGCCUCUCGGGGCUUGGACCCAUUUGAUCGCGCACGAUGAGCGUAUGGGCGAGGGCCCGGAUAGUCGUCGUCAGAAUGGGAGUGUGUUUCGGGAACACCGUAGACAGCGGAGUGUGGGGGG